RNAcentral lists this long non-coding RNA (511 nucleotides) under Ursus americanus (American black bear). Its description in RNAcentral is "lncRNA (ENSUAMG00000012658.1)". The record is from RNAcentral. Lineage: Eukaryota; Metazoa; Chordata; Mammalia; Carnivora; Ursidae.
AUUUAACUAGUCUUCUGUGUUUCUUUAAACAGAAUCAUUUUUUUUUUUUUUUGGUGCAGUUAUAAGUAUGAUGCUUCCAUACUACAUUUGGAUGUUUUCAGCUAAGCUCACUUCUGAAUUACAGGGUUCCUCCAAAUGUUGGCUGAAAUCUGUCCUUGCAUACCCCCAAGCUCAUCUGCAAAAUCUGCAGUUCAUAAUGGAGCUCCUGUACUGGCUGUCGGAAGGAGGAGAUUCGGAAGAUAGGGAGAUUCAGCUAUUGGGCUUUGAAACUUCCUGUGAAGUUGUCCUGUGGUCUGUUCAAUCUAGAUGCAAAGGACCUGGAACAGUCAAGCGCUCAAGAGGUUUACAUUGUUUUGGAUGUUCCUAUUUAUAGACCAAACUAUUUUCCCAAUUCAGAUCCUCAGUUGUUAUGCAGAAGAAGGUCAUACUCUUCUUGAUCAUCCGUUUUAUUAGAAAUGAUUAGUAUUGUAGAGUAUCACCAAACAUUUUCUGUUUGAAUCAAAGUACAGAA